This 85-nucleotide microRNA precursor is filed under the name Bombyx mori (domestic silkworm). RNAcentral describes it as "mir-2807 microRNA precursor family". It matches the Rfam family "mir-2807 microRNA precursor family". The record is from Rfam by way of RNAcentral. Lineage: Eukaryota; Metazoa; Arthropoda; Insecta; Lepidoptera; Bombycidae.
UUAGUGCGAGUUUUUUAUGGAGUUGGAACGUUUGCCCACGUUUGCCGCUAGGGGCGCUGUUGCAACUGUAUACAAAUUUGAGUUA